GCCUGAGUGGUGAAACUGGUAGACGCGCCAGACUCAAAAUCUGGUAUCGAAAGAUGUGUCGGUUCGAGUCCGACCUCAGGCACCA
RNAcentral lists this transfer RNA (85 nucleotides) under Sulfurospirillum sp. RNAcentral describes it as "tRNA-Leu". It matches the Rfam family "tRNA". Rfam says of the family: Transfer RNA (tRNA) molecules are approximately 80 nucleotides in length. Lineage: Bacteria; Pseudomonadati; Campylobacterota; Epsilonproteobacteria; Campylobacterales; Sulfurospirillaceae. The record is from RNAcentral.